CACCGCUCCGCUGUCCGCCUGCACGUCUCCACACCACCAACACCACCAACACCACCGAGCACCACAUCACAGCCUACAACCACAGAAAGGCCAUCAGAGUGCUCUGACUGGUCGUGGAGAACAUUCUCCAUAACGGCAGCUGUAUGUGUGAUCGUUGCCCUGCUUGUUUGGCUCUGCUGGUUUUUGAGGAACAGGAUAGACAAUGUGUGCACUCGAAGUUUUCUCUGCAACGACACAGAGGGAAGAGGAGGGGCUGAAGAGAGCAGAGAAUCAGACUGUGACCAACAACACAUGCUAAAGUCAAACGGGAACCCUGACUUUACCCACCACUGAGGAAUGAAAAACAACAACAGCUAACCCCUUUAAGUAUUUGAACUCGCCACCUUUAUGACGGUACCACUGUGCAACUCCACUUUCUCAGGUUUAGAAAUCCCCCGUUUUCCUUCUGCUGAAUCUGACUGCUGUUACAAUGUUUGAGAUUGUCUCUAUUAUUUUGUCUUCCAAUCAAUCAAGUAAUGCCGCUAAAUCGUCCGCUUACAUAAUCAGUGCAUAAUUUAGCUUCAAGAUGGAUAAAUGAGAUCUCUUCAAUAAUAACAUUUAUCCCUCACACAAAUAAAUAUGAGCUUCACACUUUUGUGCACACAACCCUAAAAUGUAACAGCACAACAAUCUGUGUCAAAACCUCAUGGAGCAGUUAAAUUAUUUGUUAUUUGUAACGUUUUAUAGCACUUUUAUUCUGCUUAUAUUAUUAUAUACUCAGUAUAUUGUCCUGCUAGUUUGUGUAGAUUUACAAUCUUUCCUCUGUUUACUUUUCUCUUUGUAAAACGCCAAUAAAGUUGGUAACAAAGUGACGCUCUAA
Long non-coding RNA from Oreochromis niloticus (Nile tilapia), 859 nucleotides. RefSeq lists it as uncharacterized. The record is from RefSeq and is a predicted model, not a curated record. NCBI's taxonomy places the organism in Eukaryota, Metazoa, Chordata, Actinopteri, Cichliformes, Cichlidae. The transcript has 2 exons.